UUAUAUAUAGUGUAAAUAACACACUAACUUUUCAAGUUAGAAAUAUAUUUUAUAUUAUAUCAG
RNAcentral lists this transfer RNA (63 nucleotides) under Placobdella parasitica. RNAcentral describes it as "transfer RNA Glutamic Acid". The record is from RNAcentral. Lineage: Eukaryota; Metazoa; Annelida; Clitellata; Rhynchobdellida; Glossiphoniidae.